UUCUUCGGGGCAGGGUGAUAUGCAAAGGCAUAGAUUCCCGACCGACGGUAACCUGGCAACAGGAAGUCCGUGAACUGCUUCGGCAGCCGAUCCGGUGUGAAUCCGGAACCGACAGUAUAGUCUGGAUGAGAGAAGAUG
RNAcentral lists this non-coding RNA (138 nucleotides) under human gut metagenome. RNAcentral describes it as "FMN riboswitch (RFN element)". It matches the Rfam family "FMN riboswitch aptamer (RFN element)". Rfam says of the family: The RFN element is a highly conserved domain that is found frequently in the 5'-untranslated regions of prokaryotic mRNAs that encode for flavin mononucleotide (FMN) biosynthesis and transport proteins. The record is from RNAcentral.